This is a non-coding RNA of Caerostris darwini, 102 nucleotides long. The record is from the annotation of a GenBank genome assembly. Lineage: Eukaryota; Metazoa; Arthropoda; Arachnida; Araneae; Araneidae.
ACGGCAAUACCAUGCUGAAUAUACCGGUUCUUGUUAGAUCACCGAAGUCAAGCAUCAUUAGGGCUUGGGUGGGUGACCACCUGGGAACACCACGUGCCGUUG